RNAcentral lists this ribosomal RNA (378 nucleotides) under uncultured bacterium. Its description in RNAcentral is "bacterial SSU rRNA". It matches the Rfam family "Bacterial small subunit ribosomal RNA", at positions 30 to 409 of the family's 1533-position model. The record is from RNAcentral.
AUUGAACGCUGGCGGCAUGCCUUACACAUGCAAGUCGAACGGCAGCACGGGGGGCAACCCUGGUGGCGAGUGGCGAACGGGUGAGUAACAUAUCGGAACGUGCCCUGGAGUGGGGGAUAACUAGUCGAAAGACUAGCUAAUACCGCAUACGAUCUACGGAUGAAAGUGGGGGAUCGCAAGACCUCAUGCUCGUGGAGCGGCCGAUAUCUGAUUAGCUAGUGGUGGGGUAAAGGCCUACCAAGGCAUCGAUCAGUAGCUGGUCUGAGAGGACGACCAGCCACACUGGGACUGAGACACGGCCCAGACUCCUACGGGAGGCAGCAGUGGGGAAUUUUGGACAAUGGGGCAACCCUGAUCCAGCAAUGCCGCGUGAGUGAA